CGCCAGGCGGGCAGUGGAGGGCGCGGGCCGUGGCUGCCGGGACCGCAUCGCCUUGCCCUCCUGGAGCCCCAUCUCGGUCCCCCGACCUCCUGGAGCCCCCAGGGAUGCGAACGGUCCCGAGGAUGCUGAGAGGAGGGCUGGGCUGACCCUGCCAUUGGGAGAAAGCCUCGCAUUCCAGGGCGAGGCGGCCGGAGCCGGGUUGUCAGGUGCAUAAAGAAUUCCUGGAAGCCCCUCGCAGCCUUUUGAGGAGCGUGGGUUCGUGUUUCCCGAGGGCGCCAACGUCGCGAGGCCCCCCUGGGGUCCCAGCCGUGCAGAACCCCAGGCCUCACCUUCUCCAUUUCCCCGAAGCUUGGACCCAGGCGCAAGUUUCCAAGCAGCUGGAGGCCAAGUGUUCCGUCUGGGGGGACCGGCAGGGUGCAAGAAGGGCCGGCCCACCCCCGUGCAGCCCAAGGGCCUGCUGACCAGCCUCAAGGGGCGGUGAACCUAGAUGUGGCCAAUUUCAAAAAAGGCAACCCAAAUGCAAGGACAUGCCUCAGAUCAUCACUGCAAAUUACAAGUGGAGUGGCUGGGACAGUGCUCAACCCAUCAUGACCUCAAACCCCCAAAUCUGAAAAACUCAGGAUUAACUCAAAAAUCUGUCUCCCAAGCUUCUCAGGAGUAGAGCUUUAUAUAGAGACUUGUCUUUGGUUUCAUACCCUGGCUCUCAUCUGUCCCUUCUAUAUGGAGAAGGCCUGAACCAAUGCGUGUUACCUGCAGAAGCAGAAGGCCGCCCUGAAUGAUGAAUAGAGAGGCCCUGAUGCAGAAGAUGGUGAACACUUCCAUUUAGGGCAACUCACUAUAAGCAAGAAAUGUCUUCGAGGGGUGCCAGGGUGGCUUAGUCCGCUAAGGGCCUGCCUUUGACUCAAGUCACGAUCCUGGAGUCUGGGGAUCAAGCCCCGCCUUGGGCUCCCUGCUCAGUGAGGAGGCUGCUUCUCCCUCUACUCCUCAUCCUGCUCAUGCUCACUGUCUCUCUCUCUCUCUCUGU
Molecule: long non-coding RNA, 1024 nt
Filed under: Vulpes vulpes (red fox)
Lineage: Eukaryota; Metazoa; Chordata; Mammalia; Carnivora; Canidae
Description: lncRNA (ENSVVUG00000019127.1)
Source: RNAcentral